CUGGUUUCACUCAAGAGUGAAAAAUUUUCCAACCCCUGGAAAGUUUCGGCUUUCGUGAUAGCUGUUAUCGUUUUGAGUCUCAGCAUUUGGAGUCAGACAAACAACAUCCGGACUUUCUUGCGGAAGUAACAGUUUACUUAAUUAGUAAUUCACAAUGGGGUUCAUCACUUUGUCCUCAUAUUCCUCAGUUGUUCUCUUUGAAAUAUUUGAAUGUUUCCCUAGCUAAACUUCAUGUAAUUUUAUUUUUAUGAGUAAUCUUAAUAUUGUAGUCCUAUUUGCUUGUAUGUAAAUUUUCUUAUAUGUUUGUCCUACUUCCUUGCCAAACAUAGGAUGAUAAACUAUCCAAACUCAUAGCUGAGUGAUCUACCAAAAGAAAAGGAGAAAAAAAAAAAACGAAUCUUGAAUUCUUGAUAACCGAGUGUUAGUCAAAUUAAGGUUCAAGUGUGAUUUGGUGCUCUUUUAUAACUACGGUGAAGUUUGAUCUCCCAUGAAUUCAAAUACAAGUGAUUGCUAGUUUGCUACGCGGUUUCUCUAUUGAUGCCAAUUAUGGGUUCUUUCAUCAAGCUAAAGGCUAUAGGGUGGUGGUCUUCUGGUUCCAUUGAAGUGAAACGUACUAUUGUUACCCUAAUCUAUGAGACAUUUUCCUAGUAAUAUCUCCACUAACAUCAUGUUGUGGCUGUGUUCAAAAAAUAGGUUUGUUCUAGUUGCAGGCUAACUUGGUUAGAUGCUGAAAAGUUGUUAGCCCGGAGAUAUGAGGUUGUCCAAAAUUUGAAGUCCAAUUCUGUUUGAACAAAAAGUGUCAUGAUACUUCAUUCGUUUUUCUCCAUAUUGAUGGUCUCCAUUGAUUAUGAAGUUGGUUCAGUUCUGGAAAUAAGAAAUGAUGAGGUUUAGACUGUUACCAUAGAUAUUUGUCAAAUUGAAAGGUAAUUCAAGGUAAUGCAAGGUAGUAAUAUACUGUUUACAUGCAAGUAAAACUUAUUUUGACUUCAUAAUUUGUCUAGUUUGCUCUAGUAGCAUAUACACGGCAGGUAAUGAUCUGAAGAAAAUUUGAUAAGAUGCAUGAUGACUUGUAUUGGUGAAAAUGAAUGAUAUUUUUAUCUCACUAAUUAGAGCUUAGGCUUAACCUGCCAAAAUGCAUUAACAGGAUGUAAAAGCCUUUAAAUUUUCAAUAUCGGCAAAGUUUGAAAUCUAGUAAACUGAAAGUGCACCCCAAAUCCUAAACAACAGAGAAGUUCAGGAAAUGACACCAAAACUAGGAUCCGGCUCCUCUAAAGUGAGCAAACCGUGAAGUUAGUAAAUUUCAUAACAUCUUCAGCCUCCAUCUAAUCUAAUGGUUCAAACAUAUCCACAUCAAUUAUGUACUUAGAAAAUGUUGAAAAUUUAUUUUUCAAUAACGUUAAUUUGAAUUUCUAUCUUUCCUUCUUUUUUUUUCAUUAUUCAACCUUCAUCUUUGUUCUUGCUCUGGAACCUGUGCUUCUAUGAAUUUCUCUUUGAAAAAGCAAAUUGCCAGAUUCAUGGUACAUGAGUGCUUCAUAGUACUCCACAUCAAUAAGACUAUUGCAAUCCAUGAACAAUUGCGAUUAGUACUCCAAUCGAUUUAUAAACCAAAAGCUAGGAAAAUUCGAAAGAUUGGUGAGAUCGAUGCCUACCAUUCGAUUAUUAAUAGGAAAACCAACUAUAUUGGAAACCCAUAUGGUCAUCAUCUCCAGAAAUCAAAAUAGAAUGCAAAUUACAAAUCCUAGAGUGUAGAGGUUGAUGGCAGAUGAACCAAUUAAAGAAACCUCAUUUGAAUAAAGAAACUAAAGCUUUUCUAUUCAAACCUUAAAACAUCAAUUAAGUUAUACAUUAUGAAUUCGAUCACCCUUCGAUCAGAUAUGAAGACUCGCUUGAUCUCAUGUUUAUGAACACAGGUUAAAAGUUUUUUUUUUUCUUUUAAGUUUGUUGUUAGAGAAAAAAUCACUUGUAUAGAAAUAAAUAAAUAAAUAAUCCAACAAUUGAUGUUUUUAAUUGAUGUGGAUACAUUUAAACCAUUAGAUUAGAUAGAGGAUAAAGAUUUUAUGAAAUUUACUAACUUUACAGUUUUCUCACGGAUCCCCAAAACUAUAUUGUCAGAAUAUAUGCACAAACUUUAGAGCAUUGUGAAAUCUAUUUGUAAAGGGACGUAAAGUUAAGUAUUAUCUAUUUAAUUAUUAAGGCAGGAUUCAUCAUAUAGCUUGACGUUUUUUGGCCGUGGUAUAGUGCAGAUAUAUUUUUGUAGUAGUGUUAUUAAGGCAGGGUUUAGAUACAUUUUUGUAGUAGUGUUAUUAAGGCAGGGUUUAGGGUUUCUGCACUAUAUAUCUUGACAGCGAGUUCUAAUUCUAAAUUUGAAUUGAAAAGGUUUUAUAUCUACAAAGAAGGCAGGAUUCAUCUUCUCCUGAAAUUAAAAGACAGAAAGGAAAUGCAUUAGAUUUAUCAAAGUAAACAAAAGUUCAUAGCCUUUUGUAUUCAAUUCAACUGUCAUCUUUAAUAGGUAUUUGAAGAAAUAGUAUGUGAGACAGUGAUUAAUGGAUUUUGAAAAUGAACUUAAAACAAUGGAUUAAUGGUAGAUACAAUGUCUGAUAAAUCAGGGUAACAAUAGUGUGCUAUCAAUUCCAAUAGGCAGAUCAGAAUAUCUCACUUACAGUUUCAGAACUACAAUAUAGAAAAUCCAGAAUUUAAAGGAAGGCAAAGGAAAUAGAAUUUCGAGUAAGAAACAAGAUUGCAAUGUUUUUAGGACAUCGAUAAUCAUGUAAUGAAGUUACACUAAAUAAUAAAAUGCCUAUAACGUUUGCCAAGUUCUUGCUAGUUUCCUGCUCUCCAAAUCCAAGCUUCAAAGCACCUGUAAAAUUCAUGAGUGAUUAAGAAAAUCAAUGGUAAUACAAAGCCAAGCACUGUAAUUCAAACAUUCAAUAGAUGACAAAAAAAAACAAAAAAAAAAAAAAUUUGAAGGAACUGAUGACAAAAGUUUGAAAACAAGUAUUCUUUAUCUAAAUAAGUAAUUGUACUAAAUGGUUACACAAAUUAAAGAAUAGUAAAGGAAACUUGAAGGAAAAUUCUAAAGUACCCAACAAAUUUCUAUACCGUGGUUUUUUUGAAAUUUUUUUGACAAACAAAAGGACAUUUGGUUAAAACUUUUAUAAUAAAUGUCCAUAUGUUGUAAUUACGAAGUGUGAACCAAAUUUACAAAUUUAUGACACUUGUUAUAAAAUUGCGGACGAAUGUGUUGUCGAAUUGUAAAUUUUCAGAUUUGGACCAAAUAUACCAUUUGUCCUUGUUCACGUAAUAUGAUUCUCGGUUUUGUAAUUGAGUUGUGUUUUUUGUAUUGAGAAAAUAAUAACAUCUUUCACAACGUUUUUACAAACAUAAGGACAUUUGCUUGAAAAUUUUGUAAUAAAAUGUUCAUAUGUUGUAAUUACGAGGUCUGGACAAAAAUUACAGAUUUAUGACCCAUUUUAAAAAAUUGAGGACCGAUGUGUUAUCGAGAUGAUAAAUUUUCAGAUUUAGACCGAAUAGAUCAUUUGUCCUCAUUCACGUAAAAUAGUUCUCGGUUUUGUAAUUGAGUUGUGUUUUUUAUAUUAAGAAAAUAAUUACAUCUUUCACAACGCUUUUAUAAACAUAUGGACAUUUGCUUGAAAAUUUUGUAAUAAAAUGUUCAUAUGUUGUAAUUACGAGGUAUGAACCAAAAUUACAUAUUUAUGCUCCCUGUUAUAAAAUUGAGGACGAAUGUGUUGUCGAUAUGGUAAAUUUUUAGAUUUAGACCGAAUAGAUCAUUUGUCCUCGUUCAUGUAAAAUGGUUCUCGGUUUUAUAAUUGAGCUGUGUUUUUUGUAUUGAGAAAAUAAUUACAUCUUUUCACAACGCUUUUAUAAACAUAAGAACAUUUACUUGAAAAUUUUGUAAUAAAAUGUUCAUAUGUUGUAAUUACGAGGUUUGAAUCAAAAUUACAGAUUUAUGACCCCUGUUAUAAAAUUGAGGACAAAUGUGUUGUUGAAAUUGUAAAUUUUCAGAUUUGGACUAAAUAUACCAUUUGUCCUCGUUCAUGUAAUAUGGUUCUCGAUUUUAUAAUUGAGUGUUGUUUUUUGUAUUAAGAAAAUAAUUACAUUUUUCACAACGCUUUUACAAAGAUAAGGACAUUUGGUUGAAACUUUUGUAAUAAAUGUCUAUAUAUUGUAAUUACGAAGUCUGAGCCAAAUUUACGUGUUCUGAACGAAUUUACUUAUAUUUGUGUAAUUGUGUUGUUAAAUUUGUAAAAUAAAAAAGAAGAAGAAUUACAUACAAGUAUCUGACCAAAUUUAAAAACACAAAAAACCCACUUGCAAUAAUUUUUAAACAAUACAGGACGUAGGCCCAAGCCCAAGACCAACAGUAUCAGACCUCCCUCUAAAAAAUUACAUGAAAUAACUCAAAUGUCCUAUCACAUACUGACCUUCCUUUCUCCCAGACCUCUUUCUCUCUCAUACCAAAGUUUAUCGACAAGAGCAGCCAUCUUGACGAUGACAGACAUCGCUCGAUGAUAGGUGCAUAAUUACACAUUAUUUGUAUCAAAAUCCUCUAUACUUGCUUUGUUUGUUUGGUGUGUUUUCUAGUUAUUUACUUUGUUUAUUUUUUUUCUAGGUAUUUUGAAGCAAAUAAGAAGGAAAGAAGGAAAAGAGGGAGUAGAAGACAAAAUUCGGAAAUCUGCCUACGCAAGUCAGCCAACUUCGACAGGACACUGAGGGCAGCUCGAGAAGAACCAGAUGAUGAGUCUUAUAUCAACGGAAAGCUACGGAUGUCAGUUUUCCAUAACAUUUUACGGUUCAUGAAUAACAUUUUCGUAGAAGAAGUUAUGGCCAAUUUAGUACCAUAAGGUCAAUCUGCACAAGAACCUGACUCUUGACGGAUAUUUGUGUUUUGAGGCCCAAAUCACACCGGGAGGCCUAUGGAUGAGUUUUCACUUCAUAUUACGACUUAUAACCUCGAGGUGAGCUAGCUGAUUAUGAAGAAUGAAAUGAGUUGGCAUACUUCCAUUGGUCCUACAGAUGAGUACCAAUCAGAAUGUCCAAGGAAACCUAAAUCAAGAUGGAUUGGUUGAAGGAAGCAAAAUAAAAGCCUCUGCUAUCAUCUUUGACGGCUUCUUCUUCGCCUCUUCUUCUCCACCCAUUCUCCUAUGUUUUCUUUUUAUUAUGUUUAUUUAGUUUCUCUUAGUUAGGGGCUGCUUGAAGCCCUAGACAUGAACAACAAGAUGAUUUGAGUUUUGGUUUUUAGUUUUUUUUAAUUCAAGAUGAGAUUUCACUACCAGGACAAGCACUUUAGCCGACGAAAAAUCAUGCGGACCCCCAGAUGAUGUUUCACCGUGAUAUAACCAACAUGUGUACUUCUCCCAAAACCCGUUACUCUUCAGGUGCUGCCAUACUUUGUCAAUCGCAAAUCGAUGCAUAUCGUUGCGACACUGACAUUUCGUGCACGGGCAAUAGAAAAUUGUAUUCCCGUUAGCAUUAGCCAGCGCAUAUUCCAGAAAACUCAUAAUUUCUUUACCAUAUCUUUUGUCCAAUUUUGGAAGCGAAAUCCAACUCUUAUCCAUAUCCGAUCCUGAAAAUAUAACAAAAUAUAUAUGUACAACGCUAGCUAAUUAUUAAUUAAAUUCUAUGCCAUAUAUAAAAUUUCAAUUCAUUUAUAUAUAUAUUCUACGUACUACAACUAAUUGAUAACAAAUUAAUUAACACACAUAUAUAUAUAGAUAUACUUAAUUAAGAAUUACAUAACAAUUUAUAUAUAUCAACAUCAUCACAAAAUCAUUAUCAACAACUUCAUACCAUCAACACAAUAUUAUAAAUUAAUUAACAUAUAUAUAUAUAUCUACUACUUAUUAACAACAACUUCAUAUAUAUUAUCAAAUCAUCAACCCAAUCGAUCAACACACAUAUAUAUAUACAUCCCACGUACUCAAAAUCUAUCAAUUCAAUCACACUCAAAAUCGAUAAACUCAAAUAAAACUCAAAAUCAACAUAUAUACACAUGUACGUACCUAUAUAUAGCUCCACUUCUUAAUUAUGGACAGAUUUCAACAACACCCAAACUUUUUCUCCCGUUUUUUCUUCUCCCGUUUUUUUUUCUCAGAUAAGCUGCUGUCCAGAUUUGCGAAUAUAAAGAACUUUAGCCGACGAAAUUUAUUUUCGUCGGCUAUAGUCAACUUUAGCCGACGAAAAUAAAUUCUUUAGCCGACGAAUUUUUUAUUUCGUCGGCUAAAGUUGACUAUAGCCGACGAAAAUAAAAAUUAGACGACGAAGGAAAAUUUCGUCGGCUAAAGUCUGCUUUAGCCGACGAAAAAUUGAUUCGUCGGCCUGGUUUUUUUUUUUUCGUUCGGCUAAAGUCUUUCUUCUGGUAGUGUUUGGUUUACUAUAUUUGCGUUGAUGAAUUCUUUUCAUGUUUUCUUUGAGUGCACGCUUAGUAUUUAUAGCUUUGAUAGUUUGAUGUCAGCGUCAAUAUUGGACUCCUCAAACUAUCUAGAGACCUCAAACUAUCUAGAGAAGCAAUUGUUAGUUUUCGCUAGCAAGUAAACUAAGUCCUAGGUUUAGCAAGGCUCUAAGUUUAUUGCGAUGCCUUGUGAUGUCUCAAAACCUUGUAGAACUUAAGGAUCUCUGCAUGUUAAAUCUAAUAAACGUACCUUUAGGCUGCACUGCUUGGGAAUAGUUUAGGUGUAGAGCGCUUUCUGCCUAGCAUACGAAGUAAGAAAGGGUAAUAGGUUGUGUUUCAAGCGUACCGAACCAACCUGAGCAUCCUCAUCUAGAUUAAUUAAACUAUAACUGAACAGAUUGUCUUGUGUGUGAUUGUCAGGGUGGAUUGCAUCUUCCCUAGCUAGCUAGUUUUAUCUCAUUGUUUCCCAAAACCAAAACCAAAACCAGUUUUCGUCACUUUCUGUCCUCUGUUUUCCAGUAUUUAUUUGACAUAGCAAACGAACUCCGAUUCAUCUGAAUUUUUAUAUGUGAGUCCAUCUGUGUGUCUAGUUUUUGUCUGUAAAGUUUCGUAUUUUUCUGACUAGUUUAGGUUAGGUAACUGAUUAGGUUUUCUACUGCUUGUCGCUAGGAUCAGUAGUCACUUUUGUGACAUCUUUUGAGUAGUUAGAUUCAUUUAGUCCUUUGCGGGAAUGAUCCUUAUUUGCCCAUACUAUAAACGACGAUCUAGUAGUGAAUAAGAAAAAUAAAAUUGGUUUAGAAACAACUGAUCACUCGACGACGAUGGCCCACGCUCGACGGUGACGAACAACACUCGAUGACGACGGAUGACACUCGACCAUGAUGGCCCAAGCUCGACUGUGACGAAUGACACUCGAUGACGACGGAUGAUGCUCGACGACAAUGGCCUGCACUCGAUGGCGACGAAUGACACUCGAUGAGGACGGCUGACGCUCGACGACGGAGACGGAAGAUGGACAACGCUUGACGGCGACGACUAACGUUUGGCACCUCAAUGUCGACGAUGCCCGAUGACGACACAAGAGAGAGAAGUGGAGGAAAUCUCAGCCCUAAUCUUUGUCACCGUCAUUGUCCGGCCAAUCUCCGAAGCCCAAAUUCAUCUGAUCAGGUAAAGCUUCGGCCUUCAAUUUCGAUUUUGCAAUUUCUAGGGAUUUGUUUCUCUUCGAUUUGGGGUUUUCAUCAUUCAAUCGCAAUUUUAGGUUCAAAUUGUUAUUUUUUUUAUAUUUGAGGGUUCCGGGCCGUCAGGACUCGAUUUGCGACAAUGAAGUGUUUUGGGAGUAGGGGCUCCGUCGAGGCUAGCGGCUACUGGUGCCAAGUGAGUGGCGGAUCCACCAGGUGUUCACCUCGAAGUCGUUCGUGAAUUGGUUGAUGGAGGUCUUUGUUGAAGUUGUUGUUAUCUUUGUUUCUUUGCAGGUUUGUUUUGACAGUAGCUGCUUUGGCAGUAGCAGCAUGCUCGCAUCAACUUGAACAGUAGCAGCGUCUUAACAUUAGAGUCUGUAGUAGCAGCGGGCUAGCAUCACCGUCGGUAGCAGAAAAUGUAGCAAAGCAUCGAUAGUAGCAUCAAAAUUGCUGAAAAAAAUUGCAAUAGCAUUGCCAGUAGCACUUGGGUAUCGGUAGUAGCACAUUCUUACUUGACAGUAGCACAUAGCACAUUUCUGGUCGACAAUAACAGUAGAAUUUGUAGUGAAUGGUAUUCUGGUAAAAUUAUAGUGACAUAUGACAUGUGGACAUUAAUUUGUCCUAAUUUAUUAAUUUUUGUCCUUAAAUGUGUAAAAUAAUGUGUAAAGGAUGUGUUUGUAAACUGAAAUUUGGUUAGUAACUUUAAUGUAAUUUACUAUAAAAAGAAUAAAGAUGUCAUGUGUCAAAAUCUAAAUGGGUAAAUAAAAAGAAAAAAAUAUAUCAAGUAUUGGUGGGUAUGCUAGCCUGUCUCGAACUUGAAAAUCUCUUAUGACAAAAGUUUGAAGGAACUAAUGACAAAAGUUUGUUUUCAGACCUAUCAUUACCUAGGCACCUUUAACUCAUUGGUAAUACAAAACCAAGCAUUGUAAUUCAAAUAUUCAAUAGAUGACAAAAACAAAAAUAAAAAUUUGAAGGAACUGAUGACAAAAGUUUGAAAACAAGUAUAUAUUCUUAAAUUUGAAUGUAAGUUAAAAGUUUGAAACAAAAAUAAAAAUUUAAAGGAACUGAUGACAAAAGUUUGUUUUCAGACUUAUCAUUACCUAGGCACCUUUAACUCCACGUACUUCUACUCAUGUUCAUGAACUGAUUGAUUGGGAUAAUCUUACAUGAAAUUUGGGUCCUACAAGUCAUCUCAUUCCAACACACAUUUAGGAGAAAUUUUCCAUAGGCAUAUUAUGAAUUCUUAUUGCAGCAGGCCAACUCCAAACCAGGAAAGGGAUCUAAUUCUCCAAACAAACUCCAAAUCCUACUACAUUAGCUUUCCACUUCCCAACUAGAAAAGGAAAUCGAGAGACAUUUUUUCUUUCACUUCCUGUACUCCCCACUCACAUAAAAGGGAUGCUGGACUUGACAUGCCAGAUUAUGCCACACAUGAUCAAGGGAAAGACUCCCGAAGAGAUUCGCAAGACUUUCAACAUCAACAAUGACUUCACUCCUGAGGAAGAAGAGGAGGUUCAAAAGGAGAAUCAAUGGGAUUUUGAGUGAAGCAACAAAGCUGCUCAUUCUACUAUAUAUAUCUACAACAUUUAAUCCUAGUUACCAGUGUGUUAAUUUCUUGGUACUAAAAUUAAAAUAAUUGCAACAGUACAUGUGGUAUCCUGAAAAAUCAUGACUAAUUUCUAAUAUUAUUUUGUAAAUUAUCUAAGUAGGAGUUGUGUGGAUUUGUUGUUUAGUGAGUGGACUGGAAGUGUUCGAGCGAAUAAUUUCUUGAAAAUGCUAUAUCUGGACGGGUUAAAGAGUUGACUUUUUAAUUUGUUGGGUUUCUCGAGAAACUUCCUUCACAAAAGUUAUAGAGCAUGAUGAUACGAGUUCGUAGACACGUGGCACGCAUUAAACGGACUUCGUAUGCGGAAGUUAUGGUUAACGAAAGUGUCGUGGCUUUUCGGGAAUUUUUAGUAUAAAUAAGAAAAGUUCUUAGGGUUUCCAUUUUUCAUUCACUUUCUCUUCCUCUCUUUUUCUCUUGCACGCCUCACCUUCAUAAUUAAAGAUUGGCGUCCGACCUGACCCGGCUUUCCCGGCUGACUCUGCCGGACUCAGACUGCGGCACCGGUCAAAAAUUCUUCCUCUACUCGACGCGAUCCUCCAUGUGUUGGUGAGUGAGGUCGACUCGAGAUGGUCUGUGCAAAUCGAGCGCCAUAGUGAGGACGACGACCCAGUUUUCAACCCGAUCUAGAUUUCCACCUCUAACGGCGGCGACGAGGCUUUGAACCGGUCAGGAUAGGAAGUGUUGGGUGCCCUCGUUGUGUAGAGCUACCGAGUUUGACUUCUCCUUGUGGUGGCGCUGCCUUGGCCGGAAUCCUAAUUCUGGAGGCGACGAGGCGCAAAGUUAGGUGAGUUUUGACAUCCCUUUCCUUUUGAGAACACCUACACGUGUCAUACAACGCAAUUUGAGUUUUUGGAAACCUUGAAUGUGCAGAUUGAAGUUCGAGCUUGUGGCUGUGUUUCAGGCCAUUUUCUUGUCGAUUUGUUCCUUGUCGCAAGUAUGAAAGAUGCCUAUUCUCAUUUGAUCUUUGUUUUGGUUGCUUUUGAGUGUCAAGAAUGUAGAGUUUAGGGUAGGGAGGUGAAUGAGGCCAACGCGCGGCCGCCUAUGGUGGCGCGUCUAGUAGAGUUGGUGAGAUGAGCAGUCAUUAUUGUGUUGUACUCGACAAUGCUAACAUUUUGAUAUGUCAUAAUGUUAUGUUACUAUGAGUGUCACAUAUUUGGCUUAAAGAUUAAAGUCCAUUGCUUUGAUUGUUGUUGUAGAUAUGACAUGGUGUGUGUCAAACAUUUCACUGAUCUUGAGAGGUCUUGGGGGAAACUUGUUCUCAAGGGACAAGUCUUUGGGUUAAGUUAGGUGUAGGUCCAAUAGUGAAAUGUCUUAGUCACAACUUGUUAUUAAAGUAAAGAUGUCAUGAAUUACUAGGUGAUUGACGGUACAUGUUCGUAUCUUACCUUUUGCUAAGAGAAGACGCAGCGGGAGUUUUGAGGUGAGUAACCUUCUUAAGGUUCAAGUAGGAAUCGACUUUCUUAUAUAGUGUGUUUGAUUUGCUAAAUUAUGGAAUUGUGCUCUCGAAAGUGAAUUGUUUUGUUUUAAAAUCAUGUGAACUUGAUCGUCCACGGUUCACGGGUAAGUAAAAUAUUUUCUUUUAAUAUAUAUCAGCUUUCUUGAGCCCUUCCCGAUUGUAGCUGUAUUUGAUAUUAGUUGCAUUUAUAUAUGUUCAUGGAAGUAUAUGUGCUUUGGUGAAAUUGUGUGUUAUGUCCACUUGUGUUAUUUGAUGAGGAUCAGUGGGUUAUGAGAACACGUAGUUUGGAAAUGUUUAUGAUCAGGACCUUGAGUUUAUUUGGAGAAAAGUAAUCAGUGUGUGGUGACGACCUGUGUGGUGAUUUGUGUGAUGAUAUGUGUGAUGAUUUUGUGUAGAUGUUGUGAAUUGAUGUUGAGAUGUAUGGUCGAGCGAUUGGUAUUGUUAAUGGUCUUUUGUUAAUGAUGUCUUUCGUAUUGAAUUAUUGUGAUUCUAAUUUGAAUACUUUAGUGUUUCUUGUGAUCUCCUGAACUAAGUUUCAUGCAUGGAUCAGUGUUUUCAUAUUUAUUUGAUCUCAAUGUAAUCACUUGAACUAAGCUAUGCGUAUGGAUUACUAUUGUUUCGGCGUGAUUCCUGAGGGGAUGAAUCACACAGAAUGCUAGAAGAACACCAUCUUCAAGACCCGUAACCUGUCAAUCAUGAGCAAACGGCGUCAGAGGGAAGACCAAGCUUGCCGGUCUUCAACCCUUUGAUGCCUAAGUCAGCUUCAUGAGAAUAAAGAUAAGGUAUGAAUAGGGUGGAGAUGGAGACUUACCCAAAUGAUGGGUGGAAAUAUGUAUUUAUAGAGAUAGGGUGAUUGCACCCUUAAAGUAUUGUUUUUCCUUAUUGGAGAGUGUAUUUCUCUUAUGCCCUCAAGGAAGAGUGUUGGUAACUUGGGCUUAGUUAAGACCCAAACCCCUUUUACGUGGCAGUAUGUGUCUUCUUAGGCGAGUAUGACCGAUGUUCUAUCUCUCACAUAUGAUGUAUUAACAAGUCCCCAAGUCCGCGGUCAAAAGACUCUCUUGGGUGGGGACUUUAUCUGAUAGAGUAUCAGGAGUACGAGCCUUACUAGUGGCGACAUAACCAGUCCCUAGUCCCCCAGGUCCCCAUGCAAGGGAGGGGAUGGACCGGCUCCCUCUAAGUGGGGUGUUGUGUGCUGCUAUAGCUCUGUCACGCUAUGAGAAAUCAUGAUGUCAUGAUAUCUUGCAUGGAGAUACACCUGAAUGUGAGACCCCGGGACCGUUGCUCCCGUGUAGUGUCUGGAGAUUGCAGGGCAAUCGGGGGUCGAAGUUUAGGUACCGCUUGGUGCCAGGUGUGGGAACUCUGGUGAGCAUCUUAUGUGGGUAGUGGGUACCGGCAUGUUUGUAUGCCUUAGGCGUUUAGUAGCCUUUGAUUUGUAUCAGCUAUAUGCUCUAGCUGGCUGAGCUAUUCCAGCAUGUAUAUGUUCCAAGCGGAGAUUGUGGUGACAUAUUUUGUGGUUGCCUCUAGGUGAGUGCUAGAGUGCCUACGUACCCGUUUAUGGGAUCAAACCAAACAUAGUUCACCAUUUCACCAAUGAGGCAAGUGUGCUGUCGAGGUGUGGCGAGGAGUGUCGCUGGGGCAUAGUGAUGGUGCCGAUAGGGCAUGUGUAGAGCUGUUGGGGAAAGGGUGACUAUCGCUAAGGCGUAACGAGAGCACGCUAGGAAGCGUGGCAAAGACCCCGCUGGGGCAAGGCCAGUGUCGCCAAAGUCCAAUGUCGCCACGCUAAGGCGUAACGAGAGCACGGUAGGAAGCGUGGCAAAGACCCCGUUAGGGCAAGGCCAGUGUCGCCAAAGUCCACUGUCGCCAUGCUUAGGCGUAACGAAAGCACGCUAGGAAGCGUGGCAAAGACCCCGCUGGGGCAAGGCCAGUGUCGCCAAAGUCCAAUGUCGCCAAAGUGUAGCGAGAGCACACCAUGAGGCAUGGUAAGGGUGCCUGAUGAGGCAGGGAGAGUGUCGCUGAGUCGUAGUGAGUGUCGUUAUGGCGAGGGUAUCGAGUAGGCAUGGCAAGUAUCACGAAGGCGUAGUAAAUGUCGGCAUAUAAGGUUGUUGCCGAGACCUAGGAGAGUCGCUGCUGAAUUCUUAGGUAGAUGUUGAAACAUGGGAGAUUCAACAUGUCCUAGUAUUGGGAGCUAUUAUCGUGUCGGGUAGGAUGCGCAAGUCCCCCAGUGCCGGGAGUGAUUAAUGUGGCCGGUCACCGGAACGACAACUGAUUUGGCAUAGGGAAUUUCAUAUGGCGUGUUCGAGAGUUGAGGAUAAUGUCAUAUGUCUGGAGGUGCCUUAAACACUUUGGUGACUUGUAGGUGUCACGCGCUGAGGAGUGUUUAUAGGCUCAUCCCGGGUGGUUGAUAGAUGACUGAUACCACACUACAAAAAAUAAUUGUUUUAGCCACCACAGAUUACGACGGCGCGAAAAUGCCGUCGCUAAUAGUUCUUGUCUUGCGACGGCAUUCGUAAGGUAGCAGAAAAGAAAUUUAUUUUGCGACGGCAACGACACGCCGUGGCAAAUGAUGGAAUUAUUUGCUACAGCUAUAUCAUACCGUGGCAUGGAAACGAAAAAUUUGCGACGGUAUUCAAUGCCGUCGUAUAAAUUUGUUGCUACGGUUUAGUUGCCGUAGCAAACAAUCCCUAAAAGCUAAGUAAAAACAGGCGCCAUUAAUCCCGCCGCACUAAAAAUUUUCCGAGUCCCAAAUUUUUUUUUUAAGCGCCAAAAAAGGAAGAAGAAGGCUAUCUCUAAUUUGACAACCAAAAAAAAACCCAUCUCAUUUAAUCUUUGUCUAAACCCGUACAGCUCUACUGCAACUUAUCCCUCUCAACUGAACUCCAUCUUCAACUCAACCCAUCUUCAACUAAACUCCAUCUUCAACUCAACCCGUACUUUACAACUCCAUCGAUCUUCAAAACACUUGUCUGAGCCAAACUCUAUCUUCAACCUGUUCUUUACUCUUCGAUCUUCGAUACCUGAGGCAAAUUAUUGAACUCGAUCUUCGGUACUCUCUCUCUCUCNNNNNNNNNNNNNNNNNNNNNNNNNNNNNNNNNNNNNNNNNNNNNNNNNNNNNNNNNNNNNNNNNNNNNNNNNNNNNNNNNNNNNNNNNNNNNNNNNNNNNNNNNNNNNNNNNNNNNNNNNNNNNNNNNNNNNNNNNNNNNNNNNNNNNNNNNNNNNNNNNNNNNNNNNNNNNNNNNNNNNNNNNNNNNNNNNNNNNNNNNNNNNNNNNNNNNNNNNNNNNNNNNNNNNNNNNNNNNNNNNNNNNNNNNNNNNUCUNUCNCUCUCUCUCUCUCUCUCUCUCUCUCUCUCUCUCUCUCUCUCUCUCUCCUUGUUUUUCAAUUUCUGAAGGAAAACCUAUUUCAAUUUUGCAAUUUGUGGUUUUGUAUUUCAAUUUGGUGCUUGUUAAGGUUCUAUUGUUUAUGAAUUUAGUGUUUGGGUAUGUCAAAUUGUGAGAUUCGUUUUACUGUGUUUAUGAAUUUCAUUUUAUUAUUUGGGUAUUUCAAUUUAGUGUUCAAUUUGUUCCGUGCAGACUGUUUGGGUGAUGAAAACAGAGUAAAGAAUGUGGAUUGCUUAGGUCCAGCAACGCAGCAAGAAGACGUUUGAAAUAAGGAACACACAAGGUAAGAGGCGGAUCACUUCAGAUAAUUAUUGUUUGGGUUUGAGUAUAUGUGGCAUGAGUGUACUCUGAUUAAAUAUUAUUAGGCUACUAUAAGCAUGCAUUGAUCAAUUGGUAUGAUUAUGAAUUUAUGAUCAAGUGGUAAUACGAUGCAUUAUAAUUACAAGGCCGAAGCAACUAGUUUAUGGUGUAAUUGAUAUUCCAUUUUGGAGACAAUGAGAAGAGAGACAAGAUCUGUUUGAAUUGAAGAGAUGUAAUUGAUAUGGUAUAAUUGUGGAUUACUCUCAACGGUUUGCCUUUGGUGUCAAACACUACACAGUAGGACAAUGAGAAUUACAAUAAGGCUAUAUCAUGUUUUAGAUUGAUUAUUGGGAACAAGGGUGUGUUUGGUAUCAACUUGAAAUAUUGAAUAGGCAUGUAUUACGUUUUGUAUAAAUGGCUGAGUACUUGGUGCUUCUUUUAUUAGUUUAGAUAUGGUCAUUAGAGGAACUAAGUUGUGAUUGAGAACCUAAGAUUUGGUCUACUAAAGGUAACAUACUAGUCAUGGAGUAUGACAACAAAUUGGUAGUGAUGGUUUGUUUUGAGCUAUAUUACAGUUGAAUGAAUUACAAAAUGGGUAUUCAAGAUUGAUUGAUGUAUGUUGAAUUUUUACAUAAUAUAGGAUGAGUGUCGAUCCUUAAAGGUCUUAUUGGAUUUGAAGAAUAGUUUCUGAAUUGGAUAUAUGGAAUAAUUUAGAAGACCAUAUAAUCUUGGGUGUCCAUAGUAAUUGGGAGAACUACACCCGAUGAGAAGAAUAAUGUGUCUUCUUAGUAGUGAUCAAUAGCUCACAUGAAAAUAUUCAGUAAAGCAAAAUUAGCAUGAUUACCAUUUUAUAGAUGUUAUUAGAUGCUAAUAUUCAAGUAUUGUCCUUGUUGGACUAGGGACUCCAGUUUUGUUUAUGAAUUUCGUUUUACUGUUUGGGUAUUUCAAAUUGUGAGAUUUGUUUUACUGUGUUUAUGAAUUUCGUUUUACUAUUUGGGUAUUUCAAUUUGGUGUUCAAUUUGUUUUGUGUAGACUAUUUGGGUGAAGAAAACAGAGUAAAGAAUGUGGAUUGCUUAGGUCCAGCAACACAGCAAGAAAACUUUGAAAUAAGGAACACACAAGGUAAGAGGCGGAUCACUUCAGAUAAUUAUUGCUUGGGUUUGAGUAUAUGUGGCAUGAGUAUACUCUGGUUAAAUAUUAUUAGCUAGGCUACUGUAAGCAUGCAUUGAUCAAUUGGUAUGAUUAUGAAUUUAUGAUCAAGUGGUAAUAUGAUGCAUUAUAAUUACAAGGCCGAAGCAACUAGUUUAUGGUGUAAUUGAGAACAUGUGUGGGUGUUCAAUGCCGCCAUCCUGGGAGAGACCAGGUAAUAGCAAUGAGUGUUGGUGCUCAUGAAGCCAUUUGUCUUAGGUUGUGGAACAAGGACUGCGACCGUAGGCUAAUUGUGUGUCCGAGAUAGGUAGAACUUGUAAUCAACCCUUGGUAUAGUAUCUCCCAUGAUGAAAUAUGGUUGGUACCCCAAAUGGGCCCAAGAUAUUUUGUUGGCGUAAGUUGCAUGGCUCCCGACCGGUGGGGUGCCAUGCCAUGAACGAGGCUCUUGCUAGAGAGAAUAAGAUCAUUUCAUAUACAGCAUGUGUGGCUUGCAAUUAUGUGUAGCAAGUGUCAUGUGCAUAAGUGCAUCAAUGUGCUCGGAAUUGGUUUGCAAUUACAAAUGUGCAUUUAGCAUGAGCUUGGAGUGAUAUGCCAAUAACAAAUUGCAUUUGAAAUCGUGCCUAAUAGUCAGAGUCAUUUGAAGCAUGAAAAUAUAUGUAGCGUGUAUAAAAAAAAGUGUGUUGGGUAACUCUUUAUGUCAUGUGUAAUAAGCGUGCUAAAAAAUAUUGUAACAUAUAAAACAUGACAUGUGUAUAAGCAUAGGAUGUACGCUACUAAUGAGUAAGUAUGCUUGAGGUAUAGGAACCGAUAAAGCAUAUUGUAAAGCGUUGCAUGAGCUCAAAUUAAAAUGAUGUAGGUGAGAACUUAUCUAGAACGGUGUAGACGUGAUAUAGAUAUUGUAGAAUAAUUAGAGUUGUUGAUAUGAAACUCUAUAUGUUGGUCUAAGAGUGGUAUAAGAAUCCCGAUAAGAAGUCGAACCGAUGAUAAGACUCACUCAUUGAGCUCAUCGGUGAAGAUAACAGUAGUGUCUUGCCAAGGAGUAAUAUGUAUGUACACCAACAUAGAGAAGAGAAGUUGAUGAUAGCAUAUAAUGGUCCUUAUAGCGUGUGCUGAUGAUAUUUGUGGCAAGUAGAUGAGCAUAUAAGGGCAUGAGAGUUCUUGUUGUCCAAGAAUAGAUCAUAGGAGAAGUAUGUAGCAUUAUAGGUGGAAUUGUUGUCGACAACUCCCUGUUGGGCUUGACCCAAUAUAAUUAUACAGUGCCGAGGGGGCAUAGCAAUUGAGGACUUGAGAUGCUAUAAGGUAGCGAGGGGGGUUGGACGUGGCCACCAUCUGAUUUGAUUAAUUAAUGGAGUAAUCUUGUUGUGGCUGACAUAUGAAACAAGUAAUAGAUAUAGUCCCCUCCACCCUUUGGGUCUUCGUUGGGAAGACCUGGGUCAUGGGUGAGAUCUGGGUCGUCACGUGACAGUGAUUUUAGGUUACAGUUUCCACCCACGAUUUUAGUUUACGGGUCGCCACGUGGCAACAAUUAUUUAUUGAAUAUAAUAUAUAGCAUUUAUGUGCAAAUAAUGAUAUUGUACGUUAAUAAAAUCUUAAUGACAUAUUUUUUGUGUGGGAUAAAAAAGAUAUAGAAGGAUAGUAUGUAUUUAUAGGGGAUUGUAGAUUUUUUUUUUAAAAUAUUUGUCUUACCGUUGCAAUUUUUCCUUCAAUUUAUAAUUACAAAAAUUAAAUUAAAACGUUUUCAAAUUUUUUGAAUUUCAACAGUAACCAUAUGUAUAAUUAUUUAUUGUCAGAUCUCAUAUAUAUAAUUGUCUACCGUUGGAUUUGAAAGCAAAUGCAACACCAACAGCUGCUGACGCAUGGCCAUGUUCCCACCCAUUUGCACUAGCCGGAGGAACGCGCUAUAUGCAUGCCCUCAUUUGUUCGUCCACGCUACGCGCUCCAUCCCUCGUAUCGUCCCGCCUCCCUUAUUAUCUUCACGUGGCUGAUAUAUGCAUGGGCCCCACGAUACGGGCUGACAUGGCAAACGAAGGUCUGGGUCUUUAAAACGAAGGUCUAGGUCAUGGGUCUAACCCAGAUAAUGACCCAGGUGAAAGAAAUUUUAUGGGUGGAAAGAUGUUUUUUCUGGCUGGGUCUUCAUUUGAUAUGGCGAAGACCUAGGUCUAGGUCUUGUUUUUGAGGUUGGGGAGGACUUGCUCUAACUCCAUAGCUGCAGAUGUAUCAUAUUUGUACCAAUACAUGUAGCACAAGAUAUGUGGUUGUCAAUUAACCUUCAGAGCAAUAGCGGAAGUAUCAGUGUGAGGUUUCUGCUUGUGAGCUCUGCAUGCUAACACUUAGUCAACUGUUGAGGACGUGUAAAUUAAGUCUCAGAUCAUGGACAAAAGGCAUAUACGAAUAUACAUAUAUUUCAAGUUGUUGGGUCGGCAGCACUCACAAAAAGUAGAUAUAAUUGUAUAUAUCCAUGAUCAUGAUCAUGACCACGUACAAUAUAGACAAAGUAGAUCCACAUGUGUUAACUAAAGUAGUUCAGAUCGAGUUUAUUUAUACAGCUGAAGAGAGUAUUUUUAACGAAGACUCUUAAGUUAAUAAUUAGUUGAGAAUUUUUCGGCUUAUUCUAUUUUUCGAUCUUAUAUCCAUAUCUUGACUGUUCAGUUUAUAUGUAUUUAUGAGUAGAUCAUUUCUGCAAAUUUUCAGCCAUAUUGAAAAUGGUUAAGACAUUCACAAGUGUGAUUUAGUAAUUAUGAACUUAAACGGUUCAUGUUUGACAUAUUUGGUUCGUCUAUUAAUUUGAUCUAAUUUGUUACCUUAACGAUCACUUAUUUAGCUGAAAAUUUAUAGGGUUGAUCUACACAUAUAGACCUAAAAACUGAACGGAUAAGAUGUCAAGAUAUAAUCAAAAAAUAAGUCUUUUAAACCAUAAAUAAAAAAGUCCUUAACUUAAAGGUCCUCGCUAGAAGGGCUCCCUGUAUCUGGAUACCCCUUCUAAGCGCAGUGAUUGCACUGCCACUGCUGAGGAAUUAGUCUUGGAUUAAGCCUUUGAGAAAGUGCUGUGUAUGCAUUUUGCAUAGACCAUCUACUAGAGAAAUCUGGAAGAGCAGAGGUAAUUGGCAAGGUCACAUUAGUUGCGCUGAGGGGUAAUAAUAUUUUCUAGGUUAAAGGGAGGGUGCCGAGAGCAGGCUGCUAGGUGCCGAGACCACAAUUCUUUCUUUAUUUGAGUCGUUGUGGCGGGAACCAGGAACGGGAGGUGCCGAGAGUGAUGAGUCCCGACACCAAGAGAUGACCUGUGCCGGGAGCCGGGAGGGCUAGGGAUUGGUCUCGGGACGGAGACACGGAGAGUAGAGGGGUGCCGUGAGCCCGGGAGGCCAGGGAGGGGCAGUCGGGAGUUAGGUUGCUGGGAUGAAGAUUUGCUACGUCCCGGGAAGGCGGGAAAGAGGUGCCGGGUUGCAGGGAUAGGUGGGUGGCGAGUUCGAGUCUCGCAGUGCCAGACGGUGGUGCCGGGAUUGGAUUCGCGACACCGAGAGCGUGUCGCUGCCGGGAAGCUACUGCUGCGACUUGGUAUCGCUGCUGUAAUUGUGACUGGUGGUGUCGCGACCAAGGUGUCGCGGGGACAUGGGUGCUCGGGAAAAUUGUGUUGCUGCCAGAAUGGGUGUCCAAAUAAGAUUAUUGAGUGUUUGAUGGCCAUCUCCGGUGCACCGUGGGCGACAUUGCUGCCAGGAAGCUCAAAGGAGUUGAUAUUGUGCUGUUAAGCAAUCCACCAAGUUUGUUGCGGGAAUUGUACCAUCGGACCAGUGAGAGAAACAAGAACCCAAUCCUUCUCAACUUCAUAUUUUUUCACCGAAAAUGGGUCUCAUAAGUAAAAAGAAGAAUUUGAGAUUUUGUUGUUCUCUCUAAGACUUUGGAUUUGUGUCGAUGUGACUACUCGGAGGAGAGAAAAGUUUGUGGUGAUGUUGUUCCAGGGAUGGUUUGGAUAAAAAAGAGAUGGGAAGCUGGGUGUCCAUAUAUGGGUGUCCAUAACAGUUUCUGGGUACUGCUCUUCGGCGCAUGAGCCGUGGGUUUGGGUCGCCGGACGACGUGAAAGCUGCCAGUGGCUCGUCGGAGGUCUCUGACGACCUUGGUGAUGGAGGUGAGACACAGUGGAGGUCGUAGGUCAAUGGUGGAGGAGAGAGAUAAAACCCAGAUCUACUUUCUCUCUCCUCGAAACUCAUUGUGCUCAAAACCCAGAAGCUUGAAAAGCUUGAUUUUCAUGUAAGUGAGAUGUGAUAUUGGGAGGAUUUAUAACGUAGACGAGCUCCUUGUGUUUGAGGUGAGAGGGAGCUUGGGGGGNGGGGNNNNNNNNNNNNNNNNNNNNGGGGGGGGACGAGUGUCGCCGGAAAAAAGAAAAAUUUCCAGAAAAAUGAAUUCCGGCCAGACGGUGAAUAUGCUCAUGGUGAGCUAUGUGAGGGUUUCCACUUGAGAGCCCCUCCUUUUAGCGUCAAUUGUUUCGGCGUGAUUCCUGAGGGAUGAAUCACACAGAAUGUGGGCAGAACACCAUCUUCAAGACCCGUAAUUUGUCAAUCAUGAGCAAACGACGUCAGAGGGAAGACUGGGCUUGCCGGUCUUUGACCCUCCGAUGCCUAAGUCAGCUUCAUGAGAAUAGAGAUAAGGUAUGAAUAGGGUGGAGAUGGAGACUUACCAAAAUGAAGGGUGAAAACAUGUAUUUAUAAAGAUAAGGUGAUUGCACUCUUAAAGUAUUGUUUUGCCCUUAUUGGAGAGUGUAUUCCUCUUGUGCUCUCAAGGAAGAGUGUUGGUUGCUUGGGCUUAGUUAAAGCCCAAGCCCCUUGUUGCAACAUGUGUCAUCUUAGGUGAGUAUGACCGAUGUUUUAUCUCUCACAUAUGAUGUAUGAACAACUAUAUUUCCUAUUGUUUGUUUUUAAGUGGAUAUCCUGAUUCAAUUUAUACGUAUGGAUUACUAUGAUUAUUUAUGUGCCCUUCACUGAACUAGUUCAAUGUAAAGCUUCUAGUUUUAGUUAGUUAAGUGUGCAUUUGGAAUUUAAGGUUACUCAUACAGACUUGAAAAAGCUUACCGGGUAAUUUUCUGUAUUACUUGAUACAACACAUCUGCCUUCCUUGAUUUUCUUCCAGUUUGAUACUUGGAUGUUUGUUUUACUCUUUUCCAGGUCUUUUCUUUACUCUUCAAUGCUUCCAGUUUUUGUUAUGCUCAUAUAUGUUCAAGUGUGGAAAAUUAUUGGGGGUCAGUAAUUUUCCUGACCAGAGUAACCAAAGUUUCUAGAUCAUUGUUAUCACUUAGAUUCCUUUCA
This 20768-nucleotide long non-coding RNA is filed under the name Fragaria vesca (wild strawberry). RNAcentral's name for it is "long non-coding RNA (FVES_LNC001853)". The record is from RNAcentral. Lineage: Eukaryota; Viridiplantae; Streptophyta; Magnoliopsida; Rosales; Rosaceae.